GGGCCAUUAGCAUAGUGGUCGUGCACUACAUUCGCAUUGUAGGAACGCCGGUUCGAUUCCGGCAUGGUCCA
This 71-nucleotide transfer RNA is filed under the name Candidatus Gottesmanbacteria bacterium. RNAcentral's name for it is "tRNA-Ala". It matches the Rfam family "tRNA". From Rfam's summary of the family: Transfer RNA (tRNA) molecules are approximately 80 nucleotides in length. Lineage: Bacteria; Candidatus Gottesmaniibacteriota. The record is from RNAcentral.